UCGAGAAUCUUCGGCAAUGGGCGAAAGCCUGACCGAGCGAUGCCGCGUGCGGGAUGAAGGCCCUCGGGUUGUAAACCGCUGUCAGUUGGGAGGAAGGGCUCGUGAAGAGCGAGUCUUGACCUAUCUUCAGAGGAAGUCCGGGCUAAGUUCGUGCCAGCAGCCGCGGUAACACGAACCGGACAAACGUUAUUCGGAAUUAUUGGGCUUAAAGGGUGCGUAGGCGGUGCUGUAAGUCGGGUGUGAAAUCCCACGGCUCAACCGUGGAACUGCGCCCGAUACUGCAGUGCUAGAGGGAGACAGAGGUAAGCGGAACUGAUGGUGGAGCGGUGAAAUGCGUUGAUAUCAUCAGGAACACCAGUGGCGAAAGCGGCUUACUGGGUCUCUUCUGACGCUGAGGCACGAAAGCUAGGGUAGCGAACGGGAUUAGAUACCCCCGUAGUCC
RNAcentral lists this ribosomal RNA (442 nucleotides) under uncultured prokaryote. RNAcentral's name for it is "bacterial SSU rRNA". It matches the Rfam family "Bacterial small subunit ribosomal RNA", at positions 355 to 796 of the family's 1533-position model. The record is from RNAcentral.